UCCAUCUCAACCAGGUGCGUUCGCGGCCCUCGAGGGUUCUCUCUCGGGUGGUAGGGGUAACACCCUCACGCGGCGCAUUUCUGAAUCCUUUCUUUACGAGCACCUUUCGUUCUCCUUCGGUGGGGCAACCUGCCGCUGGAACUUAACAAAACCUUUUUUUGCAUCUAGCAUUACCUGUUCUGAUACAAACAAUCGUUA
RNAcentral lists this unclassified non-coding RNA (198 nucleotides) under uncultured Paraconiothyrium. RNAcentral's name for it is "sequence contains ITS1". The record is from RNAcentral. Lineage: Eukaryota; Fungi; Ascomycota; Dothideomycetes; Pleosporales; Didymosphaeriaceae.